This 2330-nucleotide small RNA is filed under the name Pongo abelii (Sumatran orangutan). Its description in RNAcentral is "retained intron". Lineage: Eukaryota; Metazoa; Chordata; Mammalia; Primates; Hominidae. The record is from RNAcentral.
UGCCGCGGGGCCGGAUCCUCCGCGCAGCCGAGUCCAUCUCCUGGGAAAUGGGGUGGACUGUGUUUCCUUGACCGACUAUUGUGAACUCCCUGUCUCUCCGGCGGAGCGGAGACCAUGGCCCCCACUCAGGGCCCGCGGGCCCCGCUGGAAUUCGGAGGGCCCCUGGGUAAUGGGGCAGUGAGAGGGGACCGCGGGCAAAGGCUGAGCGAAGGAGAGCUGGAGCGGGUGAACUAAGAGCGGGGGCGAGAUCUGAGGAUGGAAGGCUUUGGGGGUGUCGGAGGCAGAGGGACCUGGGGGUUUGCAGCGAAGGGUAGCUGGAGAGGGAGAGCUGAGGAGGGGCCGGUUCUGGGGGCUGCAGAACGGGGAUUUAUGGUGUCAACUGGAAGCAGGAGGAGGGUCUUCGAGGGGGCCUGGGGGCGGGGGACCAAGAUGGACGCCUGGGAAGGGAACUGGGAGGCAGCGGGGUGCCUGGGGGCCGAGGGCUGAGGACGGGGUGCGGAGGCGCACUCUGAAAAUGCCGAGAGGGUCCCGCAGAAACGUCAGGGCGCCCGUGGGGGCCGGCGGGGAGCUGGGGGGCUAGGGGCGGACGCCCGACGUGAUGGCCCUUCCCGCAGGCGCCGCGGCUCUGCUGCUGCUGCUGCCCGCCACCAUGUUCCACCUGCUCCUGGCGGCCCGUUCGGGCCCCGCGCGCCUGCUGGGUCCACCCGCGUACCUGCCUGGACUGGAGGCGCUGUGGAGCCCACGGGCGCUGCUGCUGUGGCUCGCCUGGCUCGGCCUGCAGGCGGCGCUCUACCUACUGCCGGCGCGCAAGGUGCGGGCCCCGCUCGCGGACGCUCGGGGGAGGGAAGCGAAGUGGCUCGGCGAGGGAGAGGACGCCCCAGGCCUUAUCAGAGCCCCCUUGGACCCGCAGGUGGCCGAGGGGCAGGAAUUGAAGGACGAGAGUCGCCUGCGCUAUCCUAUUAACGGCUUCCAGGCCCUGGUGCUGACAGCCCUGUUGGUGGGGCUGGGGAUGUCAGCGGGGCUGCCUCUGGGGGCGCUCCCGGAAAUGCUCCUGCCCUUGGCGUUUGUCGCCACCCUCACCGCUUUCAUCUUCAGCCUCUUUCUCUACAUGAAGGCGCAGGUAGCCCCAGUUUCGGCCCUGGCACCUGGGGGCAACUCAGGUGAGAGGGGUCCCGGGGUGGAGAUGGAGGCAGAUCGGGGAGUCUGCCUGUACAUUCACUCUCCAAUAUUCUCCAGGCAAUCCGAUUUACGACUUUUUUCUGGGACGGGAGCUCAACCCUCGUAUCUGUUUCUUCGACUUCAAAUAUUUCUGUGAACUGCGACCUGGCCUCAUCGGCUGGGUCCUCAUCAACAUGGCCCUGUUGAUGAAGGAGGCAGAGCUUCGGGGCAGUCCCUCACUGGCCAUGUGGCUGGUCAAUGGCUUCCAGUUACUCUACGUGGGUGAUGCCCUCUGGCAUGAGGUGAGGCUGGACUGGACGAGAGUGGGUGUCUGAGGGCUGCAUGGGGACUAAGCCAGUGCGUCUGGGUCUUGUCCCUGCAGGAGGCCAUCCUCACCACCAUGGAUAUCACACAUGACGGGUUUGGCUUCAUGCUGGCGUUUGGGGACAUAGCCUGGGUGCCCUUCACCUACAGCCUGCAGGCCCAGUUCCUGCUGCACCACCCGCAGUCCCUGGGAUUGCCCAUGGCCUCCGUCAUCUGCCUCAUCAAUGCUAUUGGUUACUACAUCUUCCGUGGGGCGAAUUCCCAGAAAAACACUUUCCGAAAGAAUCCUUCUGACCCCAGAGUGGCUGGUAAGCUGGGUCUCUAGGGCCAUGGGUGAGGUGGGGCAGCUGGGCUUCCUUAACUCCCCACUCUGCUAUCUUUCCCCAGGGCUUGAGACCAUCUCUACAGCCACAGGGCGGAAACUGCUGGUGUCUGGGUGGUGGGGUAUGGUCCGCCAUCCCAACUACCUUGGAGACCUCAUCAUGGCUCUGGCUUGGUCCUUGCCCUGCGGGGUGUCACACCUGCUGCCCUACUUCUACCUCCUCUACUUCACCGCGCUGCUGGUGCACCGUGAGGCCCGGGAUGAGCGGCAGUGCCUGCAGAAGUACGGCCUGGCCUGGCAGGAGUACUGCCGGCGUGUGCCUUACCGCAUCAUGCCCUACAUCUACUGAAGCGGCUCCACCACCCCAGGUGGGGGCAUGUGCCCACUCAUCCACCAGCACACCCAGGACCAGGAGCCUGGACACACUUGGGACUCAAGGGCUUGCACCCCACCCAGCCCUGAGCAUGAACAGCCUCAAAGAAGAGGUGGUUUAGAGCAAGGAAAAAAAUGAAACCAGUGACCAAAA